RNAcentral lists this ribosomal RNA (2903 nucleotides) under Escherichia coli HVH 107 (4-5860571). Its description in RNAcentral is "bacterial LSU rRNA". It matches the Rfam family "Bacterial large subunit ribosomal RNA". The record is from RNAcentral. Lineage: Bacteria; Pseudomonadati; Pseudomonadota; Gammaproteobacteria; Enterobacterales; Enterobacteriaceae.
UUAAGCGACUAAGCGUACACGGUGGAUGCCCUGGCAGUCAGAGGCGAUGAAGGACGUGCUAAUCUGCGAUAAGCGUCGGUGAGGUGAUAUGAACCGUUAUAACCGGCGAUUUCCGAAUGGGGAAACCCAGUGUGUUUCGACACACUAUCAUUAACUGAAUCCAUAGGUUAAUGAGGCGAACCGGGGGAACUGAAACAUCUAAGUACCCCGAGGAAAAGAAAUCAACCGAGAUUCCCCCAGUAGCGGCGAGCGAACGGGGAGGAGCCCAGAGCCUGAAUCAGUGUGUGUGUUAGUGGAAGCGUCUGGAAAGGCGUGCGAUACAGGGUGACAGCCCCGUACACAAAAAUGCACAUAUUGUGAGCUCGAUGAGUAGGGCGGGACACGUGGUAUCCUGUCUGAAUAUGGGGGGACCAUCCUCCAAGGCUAAAUACUCCUGACUGACCGAUAGUGAACCAGUACCGUGAGGGAAAGGCGAAAAGAACCCCGGCGAGGGGAGUGAAAAAGAACCUGAAACCGUGUACGUACAAGCAGUGGGAGCCUCUUAAUGGGGUGACUGCGUACCUUUUGUAUAAUGGGUCAGCGACUUAUAUUCUGUAGCAAGGUUAACCGAAUAGGGGAGCCGAAGGGAAACCGAGUCUUAACUGGGCGUUAAGUUGCAGGGUAUAGACCCGAAACCCGGUGAUCUAGCCAUGGGCAGGUUGAAGGUUGGGUAACACUAACUGGAGGACCGAACCGACUAAUGUUGAAAAAUUAGCGGAUGACUUGUGGCUGGGGGUGAAAGGCCAAUCAAACCGGGAGAUAGCUGGUUCUCCCCGAAAGCUAUUUAGGUAGCGCCUCGUGAAUUCAUCUCCGGGGGUAGAGCACUGUUUCGGCAAGGGGGUCAUCCCGACUUACCAACCCGAUGCAAACUGCGAAUACCGGAGAAUGUUAUCACGGGAGACACACGGCGGGUGCUAACGUCCGUCGUGAAGAGGGAAACAACCCAGACCGCCAGCUAAGGUCCCAAAGUCAUGGUUAAGUGGGAAACGAUGUGGGAAGGCCCAGACAGCCAGGAUGUUGGCUUAGAAGCAGCCAUCAUUUAAAGAAAGCGUAAUAGCUCACUGGUCGAGUCGGCCUGCGCGGAAGAUGUAACGGGGCUAAACCAUGCACCGAAGCUGCGGCAGCGACGCUUAUGCGUUGUUGGGUAGGGGAGCGUUCUGUAAGCCUGUGAAGGUGUGCUGUGAGGCAUGCUGGAGGUAUCAGAAGUGCGAAUGCUGACAUAAGUAACGAUAAAGCGGGUGAAAAGCCCGCUCGCCGGAAGACCAAGGGUUCCUGUCCAACGUUAAUCGGGGCAGGGUGAGUCGACCCCUAAGGCGAGGCCGAAAGGCGUAGUCGAUGGGAAACAGGUUAAUAUUCCUGUACUUGGUGUUACUGCGAAGGGGGGACGGAGAAGGCUAUGUUGGCCGGGCGACGGUUGUCCCGGUUUAAGCGUGUAGGCUGGUUUUCCAGGCAAAUCCGGAAAACCAAGGCUGAGGCGUGAUGACGAGGCACUACGGUGCUGAAGCGACAAAUGCCCUGCUUCCAGGAAAAGCCUCUAAGCAUCAGGUAACAUCAAAUCGUACCCCAAACCGACACAGGUGGUCAGGUAGAGAAUACCAAGGCGCUUGAGAGAACUCGGGUGAAGGAACUAGGCAAAAUGGUGCCGUAACUUCGGGAGAAGGCACGCUGAUAUGUAGGUGAAGCGACUUGCUCGUGGAGCUGAAAUCAGUCGAAGAUACCAGCUGGCUGCAACUGUUUAUUAAAAACACAGCACUGUGCAAACACGAAAGUGGACGUAUACGGUGUGACGCCUGCCCGGUGCCGGAAGGUUAAUUGAUGGGGUUAGCGGUAACGCGAAGCUCUUGAUCGAAGCCCCGGUAAACGGCGGCCGUAACUAUAACGGUCCUAAGGUAGCGAAAUUCCUUGUCGGGUAAGUUCCGACCUGCACGAAUGGCGUAAUGAUGGCCAGGCUGUCUCCACCCGAGACUCAGUGAAAUUGAACUCGCUGUGAAGAUGCAGUGUACCCGCGGCAAGACGGAAAGACCCCGUGAACCUUUACUAUAGCUUGACACUGAACAUUGAGCCUUGAUGUGUAGGAUAGGUGGGAGGCUUUGAAGUGUGGACGCCAGUCUGCAUGGAGCCGACCUUGAAAUACCACCCUUUAAUGUUUGAUGUUCUAACGUGGGCCCCUAAUCGGGGUUGCGGACAGUGUCUGGUGGGUAGUUUGACUGGGGCGGUCUCCUCCUAAAGAGUAACGGAGGAGCACGAAGGUUGGCUAAUCCUGGUCGGACAUCAGGAGGUUAGUGCAAUGGCAUAAGCCAGCUUGACUGCGAGCGUGACGGCGCGAGCAGGUGCGAAAGCAGGUCAUAGUGAUCCGGUGGUUCUGAAUGGAAGGGCCAUCGCUCAACGGAUAAAAGGUACUCCGGGGAUAACAGGCUGAUACCGCCCAAGAGUUCAUAUCGACGGCGGUGUUUGGCACCUCGAUGUCGGCUCAUCACAUCCUGGGGCUGAAGUAGGUCCCAAGGGUAUGGCUGUUCGCCAUUUAAAGUGGUACGCGAGCUGGGUUUAGAACGUCGUGAGACAGUUCGGUCCCUAUCUGCCGUGGGCGCUGGAGAACUGAGGGGGGCUGCUCCUAGUACGAGAGGACCGGAGUGGACGCAUCACUGGUGUUCGGGUUGUCAUGCCAAUGGCACUGCCCGGUAGCUAAAUGCGGAAGAGAUAAGUGCUGAAAGCAUCUAAGCACGAAACUUGCCCCGAGAUGAGUUCUCCCUGAGACUUAGAGUCUCCUGAAGGAACGUUGAAGACGACGACGUUGAUAGGCCGGGUGUGUAAGCGCAGCGAUGCGUUGAGCUAACCGGUACUAAUGAACCGUGAGGCUUAACCUU